This 515-nucleotide long non-coding RNA is filed under the name Chloebia gouldiae (Gouldian finch). RNAcentral's name for it is "Erythrura gouldiae (Gouldian finch) lncRNA (ENSEGOG00005017063.1)". Lineage: Eukaryota; Metazoa; Chordata; Aves; Passeriformes; Passeridae. The record is from RNAcentral.
CGUCUCCAUGGCAACGGCGCGGCCUGCGCGCCCGGAGCCCGGCCCGGGGGUCGCGGAGCCCCCCAGAGUCCGGCAGUCUGAGCCACAAACCCGGGAAAGAGGCCCCGACUGCUCCUUCCGUCACCCCUGAGAAGGGGACAGGAGCCCCAAGGCCAUGGCAGAGCAAGGGGACAGCCUUUGUGGGGGUGAGUGAGAUUUUGGGGGGCUCCUCCCGGGCGGGGGAGAGGGGGGCUGCACUCCUGGCCUGGACCCCCACUCAAUUCCCACAGCCCCCGAGGAGCUGUCCCCAGGAGUGACCCUCAAUGACAGCCUGGUCAGCACCCGCAGCCGCUGCACGGGGCCGCUGCCCACCGGCACCAUCCGCUUGGACCGGGAGCAGAUCUCCUCCAUCGGGAGGCUCCGGAGGCUGCAGGACAUCCACAGCCUCUACCUUCAGCAGGUACGGGGCUGGGGGGGCAGCCUGCUCCUGGGGGGCACAGAGACCCCGGGUCUGACCCUACAGACACCCCCAGUUC